RNAcentral lists this ribosomal RNA (244 nucleotides) under Salmonella enterica subsp. enterica serovar Newport. RNAcentral describes it as "partial 16S ribosomal RNA". It matches the Rfam family "Bacterial small subunit ribosomal RNA", at positions 1014 to 1258 of the family's 1533-position model. RNAcentral also lists the same sequence under 3 other names. Lineage: Bacteria; Pseudomonadati; Pseudomonadota; Gammaproteobacteria; Enterobacterales; Enterobacteriaceae. The record is from RNAcentral.
GUGCCUUCGGGAACUGUGAGACAGGUGCUGCAUGGCUGUCGUCAGCUCGUGUUGUGAAAUGUUGGGUUAAGUCCCGCAACGAGCGCAACCCUUAUCCUUUGUUGCCAGCGGUCCGGCCGGGAACUCAAAGGAGACUGCCAGUGAUAAACUGGAGGAAGGUGGGGAUGACGUCAAGUCAUCAUGGCCCUUACGACCAGGGCUACACACGUGCUACAAUGGCGCAUACAAAGAGAAGCGACCUCGC